Molecule: long non-coding RNA, 2025 nt
Organism: Oncorhynchus keta (chum salmon)
Lineage: Eukaryota; Metazoa; Chordata; Actinopteri; Salmoniformes; Salmonidae
Exons: 4
Source: RefSeq, a predicted model, not a curated record
ACAACAGGUGUAGUAGACCUUACAGUGAAAUGCUGAAUACAACAGGUGUAGUAGACCUUACAGUGAAAUGCUGAAUACAACAGGUGUAGUAGACCUUACAGUGAAAUGCUGAAUACAACAGGUGUAGUAGACCUUACAGUGAAAUGCUGAAUACAACAGGUGUAGUAGACCUUACAGUGAAAUGCUGAAUACAACAGGUGUAGUAGACCUUACAGUGAAAUGCUGAAUACAACAGGUGUAGUAGACCUUACAGUGAAAUGCUGAAUACAACAGGUGUAGUAGACCUUACAGUGAAAUGCUGAAUACAACAGGUGUAGUAGACCUCACAGUGAAAUGCUGAAUACAACAGGUGUAGUAGACCUUACAGUGAAAUGCUGAAUACAACAGGUGUAGUAGACCUUAGUGAAAUGCUGAAUACAACAGGUGUAGUAGACCGUACAGUGAAAUGCUGAAUACAACAGGGGUAGUAGACCGUACAGUGAAAUGCUGAAUACAACAGGGGUAGUAGACCUUACAGUGAAAUUCUGAAUACAACAGGUGUAGUAGACCUUAGUGAAAUGCUGAAUACAACAGGUGUAGUAGACCUUACAGUGAAAUGCUGAAUACAACAGGUGUAGUAGACCCUAGUGAAAUGCUGAAUACAACAGGUGUAGUACACCUUACAGUGAAAUGCUGAAUACAACAGGUGUAGUAGACCUUAGUGAAAUGCUGAAUACAACAGGUGCAGUAGACCUUAGUGAAAUGCUGAAUACAACAGGUGUAGUAGACCUUACAGUGAAAUGCUGAAUACAACAGGUGUAGUAGACCUUACAGUGAAAUGCUGAAUACAACAGGUGUAGUAGACCUUAGUGAAAUGCUGAAUACAACAGGUGUAGUAGACCUUACAGUGAAAUGCUGAAUACAACAGGUGUAGUAGACCUUACAGUGAAAUGCUGAAUACAACAGGUGUAGUAGACCUUACAGUGAAAUGCUGAAUACAACAGGUGUAGUAGACCUUACAGUGAAAUGCUGAAUACAACAGGGGUAGUAGACCUCACAGUGAAAUGCUGAAUACAACAGGUGUAGUAGACCUCACAGUGAAAUGCUGAAUACAACAGGUGUAGUAGACCUCACAGUGAAAUGCUGAAUACAACAGGUGUAGUAGACCUUACAGUGAAAUGCUGAAUACAACAGGUGUAGUAGACCUUAGUGAAAUGCUGAAUACAACAGGUGUAGUAGACCUUAGUGAAAUGCUGAAUACAACAGGUGUAGUAGACCGUACAGUGAAAUGCUGAAUACAACAGGGGUAGUAGACCGUACAGUGAAAUGCUGAAUACAACAGGGGUAGUAGACCUUACAGUGAAAUUCUGAAUACAACAGGUGUAGUAGACCUUACAGUGAAAUGCUGAAUACAACAGGUGUAGUAGACCUUACAGUGAAAUGCUGAAUACAACAGGUGUAGUAGACCUUACAGUGAAAUGCUGAAUACAACAGGUGUAGUAGACCUUACAGUGAAAUGCUGAAUACAACAGGUGUAGUAGACCUUAGUGAAAUGCUGAAUACAACAGGUGUAGUAGACCCUAGUGAAAUGCUGAAUACAACAGGUGUAGUAGACCUUAGUGAAAUGCUGAAUACAACAGGUGUAGUAGACCGUACAGUGAAAUGCUGAAUACAACAGGGGUAGUAGACCGUACAGUGAAAUGCUGAAUACAACAGGGGUAGUAGACCUUACAGUGAAAUUCUGAAUACAACAGGUGUAGUAGACCUUACAGUGAAAUGCUGAAUACAACAGGUGUAGUAGACCUUACAGUGAAAUGCUGAAUACAACAGGUGUAGUAGACCUUAGUGAAAUGCUGAAUACAACAGGUGUAGUAGACCCUAGUGAAAUGCUGAAUACAACAGGUGUAGUAGACCUUAGUGAAAUGCUGAAUACAACAGGUGUAGUAGACCGUACAGUGAAAUGCUGAAUACAACAGGGGUAGUAGACCUUACAGUGAAAUUCUGAAUACAACAGGUGUAGUAGACCUUAGUGAAAUGCUGAAUACA